Molecule: non-coding RNA, 441 nt
Organism: Peromyscus leucopus (white-footed mouse)
Lineage: Eukaryota; Metazoa; Chordata; Mammalia; Rodentia; Cricetidae
Source: the annotation of a RefSeq genome assembly
AUGGAGAAGCAACUGAGUGCCUGCUGGGUGGUUUUAUUGCUGUAUUUCCAGUGGGUUGCUGGGAAGACCCAAGUGGAGCAGAGUCCCCAGUCCCUGACUGUCCUGGAGGGAGAGAACUGCGUCCUCCAAUGCAAUUACACUGUGAGCCCCGCUGGCAACUUAAGGUGGUACCGACAAGACACAGGCAGAGGUCUUGUGUCCCUGGCAGUCAUGACUUACACAGAGAACAAAAAGUCAAAUGGAAGAUAUUCAGCAUCUCUGGAUGCAGAUGCUAAGCACAGCACCCUGCACAUCACAGCCUCCCAGCUCGAGGACACUGCCUCCUACAUCUGUGUGGUGGGAGCACCAUGCUCCACAGAUACUUGCAGCCAGUACCAAAACCUCUCCUGGAGGCUUCAAGGAGGCAGAGGUGACAGAACAGUCUUUUUAACACUGUACUAG